This 102-nucleotide transfer RNA is filed under the name Promethearchaeota archaeon. RNAcentral's name for it is "Candidatus Lokiarchaeota archaeon tRNA-Ser". It matches the Rfam family "tRNA". Rfam says of the family: Transfer RNA (tRNA) molecules are approximately 80 nucleotides in length. Their secondary structure includes four short double-helical elements and three loops (D, anti-codon, and T loops). Lineage: Archaea; Promethearchaeati; Promethearchaeota. RNAcentral also lists the same sequence under 1 other name. The record is from RNAcentral.
GCAAAUGUCGCUUAGCUUGGUAGAACGCUUAAGCGUGCUAAAAGCGCUGGAUUGCUAAUCCAGUGUCCAACGGACUCGAGGGUUCGAAUCCCUCCAUUUGCG